AUGUGUAGAGCGUGUGCAGUGCAGUGCAGUUGUAGAGCUUGUGCAGUGCAGGUGUGGAGCAUGUGCAGUGCAGUUGUAGAGCGUGUGCAGUGCAGUGCAGGUGUGGAGCGUGUGCAGUGCAGUUGUAGAGCGAGUGCAGUGCAGUGCAGUGCAGUGCAGGUGUGGAGCGUGUGCAGUGCAGGGCUCUCUGACUCACCCUCCUCUCUGUAGUAGGUCUUCUCAGAUAAUGGCUUCGCCGGAGUGUCCGCAGCCAUGGCCGCCUUCAGUUUCUUCUCAUAAAGGCCACGGGUGGAAUCUGCACAGAAAGA
This is a long non-coding RNA of Anguilla rostrata (American eel), 308 nucleotides long. RefSeq lists it as uncharacterized. NCBI's taxonomy places the organism in Eukaryota, Metazoa, Chordata, Actinopteri, Anguilliformes, Anguillidae. The transcript has 2 exons. The record is from RefSeq and is a predicted model, not a curated record.